This 490-nucleotide ribosomal RNA is filed under the name uncultured bacterium. RNAcentral describes it as "partial 16S ribosomal RNA". It matches the Rfam family "Bacterial small subunit ribosomal RNA", at positions 29 to 507 of the family's 1533-position model. The record is from RNAcentral.
AGUGAACGCUGGCGGCAGGCCUAAUACAUGCAAGUCGAACGGCAGCACAGUGGAGCUUGCUCCAUGGGUGGCGAGUGGCGGACGGGUGAGGAAUACAUGGGAAUCUGCCCAGUCGUGGGGGAUAACGUAGGGAAACUUACGCUAAUACCGCAUGCGCCCUUCGGGGGAAAGCCGGGGACCUUCGGGCCUGGCGCGAUUGGAUGAGCCCAUGUUCGAUUAGCUAGUUGGCGGGGUAAAGGCCCACCAAGGCGACGAUCGAUAGCUGGUCUGAGAGGAUGAUCAGCCACACUGGGACUGAGACACGGCCCAGACUCCUACGGGAGGCAGCAGUAGGGAAUAUUGGACAAUGGGCGCAAGCCUGAUCCAGCCAUGCCGCGUGAGUGAAGAAGGCCCUCGGGUUGUAAAGCUCCUUUGUCCGGGAAGAAAAGCAUCGGGCUAAUACCUCGGUGUUCUGACGGUACCGGAAGAAUAAGCACCGGCUAACUUCGUG